UACGGAGGGUGCAAGCGUUAUCCGGAUUCACUGGGUUUAAAGGGUGCGUAGGUGGGCAGGUAAGUCAGUGGUGAAAUCUCUGGGCUUAACCCGGAAACUGCCAUUGAUACUAUUUGUCUUGAAUAUCGUGGAGGUCAGCGGAAUAUGUCAUGUAGCGGUGAAAUGCUUAGAUAUGACAUAGAACACCAAUUGCGAAGGCAGCUCGCUAAACUGUGACUGACGCUGAGGCACGAAAGCGUGGGGAUCAAACAGG
RNAcentral lists this ribosomal RNA (253 nucleotides) under uncultured prokaryote. Its description in RNAcentral is "partial 16S ribosomal RNA". It matches the Rfam family "Bacterial small subunit ribosomal RNA", at positions 524 to 776 of the family's 1533-position model. The record is from RNAcentral.